RNAcentral lists this small RNA (161 nucleotides) under uncultured Rhodococcus sp. Its description in RNAcentral is "ydaO/yuaA leader". It matches the Rfam family "c-di-AMP riboswitch aptamer (ydaO/yuaA leader)", at positions 24 to 134 of the family's 134-position model. From Rfam's summary of the family: This family represents a conserved RNA structure found upstream of the ydaO and yuaA genes in Bacillus subtilis and related genes in other bacteria. The ydaO/yuaA element is thought to act as a genetic "off" switch for the ydaO and yuaA genes in its native state. Lineage: Bacteria; Bacillati; Actinomycetota; Actinomycetes; Mycobacteriales; Nocardiaceae. The record is from RNAcentral.
ACGAGGACGGGGGACCCACACGUCCUCUCGGAUAACCGAAAGACCUGCUCCGGCAGGACUUUCUUGGGGUGAAGCCCAACAAUCCCCACCGGGAUGGUUGAGCCGGGCUACCUCUCAGCCCGAACCCGACAGCUGACCUCGCAGGCGCCUGUGGAGAGGAU